Molecule: ribosomal RNA, 1347 nt
Filed under: uncultured bacterium
Lineage: Bacteria
Description: partial 16S ribosomal RNA
Rfam family: Bacterial small subunit ribosomal RNA
Source: RNAcentral
GACGAACGCUGUUCGGCGUGCUUAACACAUGCAAGUCGAACGGAAAGGCCCUGCUUUUGUGGGGUGCUCGAGUGGCGAACGGGUGAGUAACACGUGAGUAACCUGCCCUUGACUUUGGGAUAACUUCAGGAAACUGGGGCUAAUACCGGAUAGGAGCUCCUGCUGCAUGGUGGGGGUUGGAAAGUUUCGGCGGUUGGGGAUGGACUCGCGGCUUAUCAGCUUGUUGGUGGGGUAGUGGCUUACCAAGGCUUUGACGGGUAGCCGGCCUGAGAGGGUGACCGGCCACAUUGGGACUGAGAUACGGCCCAGACUCCUACGGGAGGCAGCAGUGGGGAAUAUUGCACAAUGGGCGGAAGCCUGAUGCAGCAACGCCGCGUGCGGGAUGACGGCCUUCGGGUUGUAAACCGCUUUCGCCUGUGACGAGGCGUGAGUGACGGUAAUGGGUAAAGAAGCACCGGCUAACUACGUGCCAGCAGCCGCGGUGAUACGUAGGGUGCGAGCGUUGUCCGGAUUUAUUGGGCGUAAAGGGCUCGUAGGUGGUUGAUCGCGUCGGAAGUGUAAUCUUGGGGCUUAACCCUGAGCGUGCUUUCGAUACGGGUUGACUUGAGGAAGGUAGGGGAGAAUGGAAUUCCUGGUGGAGCGGUGGAAUGCGCAGAUAUCAGGAGGAACACCAGUGGCGAAGGCGGUUCUCUGGGCCUUUCCUGACGCUGAGGAGCGAAAGCGUGGGGAGCGAACAGGCUUAGAUACCCUGGUAGUCCACGCUGUAAACGGUGGGUACUAGGUGUGGGGUCCAUUCCACGGGUUCCGUGCCGUAGCUAACGCUUUAAGUACCCCGCCUGGGGAGUACGGCCGCAAGGCUAAAACUCAAAGGAAUUGACGGGGCCCCGCACAAGCGGCGGAGCAUGCGGAUUAAUUCGAUGCAACGCGUAGAACCUUACCUGGGUUUGACAUGGAUCGGGAGUGCUCAGAGAUGGGUGUGCCUCUUUUGGGGUCGGUUCACAGGUGGUGCAUGGCUGUCGUCAGCUCGUGUCGUGAGAUGUUGGGUUAAGUCCCGCAACGAGCGCAACCCUUGUUCACUGUUGCCAGCACGUUAUGGUGGGGACUCAGUGGAGACCGCCGGGGUCAACUCGGAGGAAGGUGGGGAUGACGUCAAGUCAUCAUGCCCCUUAUGUCCAGGGCUUCACGCAUGCUACAAUGGCUGGUACAGAGAGUGGCGAGCCUGUGAGGGUGAGCGAAUCUCGGAAAGCCGGUCUCAGUUCGGAUUGGGGUCUGCAACUCGACCUCAUGAAGUCGGAGUCGCUAGUAAUCGCAGAUCAGCAACGCUGCGGUGAAUACGUUCCCGGGGCU